Molecule: ribosomal RNA, 1034 nt
Filed under: Acinetobacter baumannii
Lineage: Bacteria; Pseudomonadati; Pseudomonadota; Gammaproteobacteria; Moraxellales; Moraxellaceae
Description: bacterial SSU rRNA
Rfam family: Bacterial small subunit ribosomal RNA
Source: RNAcentral
CUGGCUCAGAUUGAACGCUGGCGGCAGGCUUAACACAUGCAAGUCGAGCGGGGGAAGGUAGCUUGCUACUGGACCUAGCGGCGGACGGGUGAGUAAUGCUUAGGAAUCUGCCUAUUAGUGGGGGACAACAUCUCGAAAGGGAUGCUAAUACCGCAUACGUCCUACGGGAGAAAGCAGGGGAUCUUCGGACCUUGCGCUAAUAGAUGAGCCUAAGUCGGAUUAGCUAGUUGGUGGGGUAAAGGCCUACCAAGGCGACGAUCUGUAGCGGGUCUGAGAGGAUGAUCCGCCACACUGGGACUGAGACACGGCCCAGACUCCUACGGGAGGCAGCAGUGGGGAAUAUUGGACAAUGGGGGGAACCCUGAUCCAGCCAUGCCGCGUGUGUGAAGAAGGCCUUAUGGUUGUAAAGCACUUUAAGCGAGGAGGAGGCUACUUUAGUUAAUACCUAGAGAUAGUGGACGUUACUCGCAGAAUAAGCACCGGCUAACUCUGUGCCAGCAGCCGCGGUAAUACAGAGGGUGCGAGCGUUAAUCGGAUUUACUGGGCGUAAAGCGUGCGUAGGCGGCUUAUUAAGUCGGAUGUGAAAUCCCCGAGCUUAACUUGGGAAUUGCAUUCGAUACUGGUGAGCUAGAGUAUGGGAGAGGAUGGUAGAAUUCCAGGUGUAGCGGUGAAAUGCGUAGAGAUCUGGAGGAAUACCGAUGGCGAAGGCAGCCAUCUGGCCUAAUACUGACGCUGAGGUACGAAAGCAUGGGGAGCAAACAGGAUUAGAUACCCUGGUAGUCCAUGCCGUAAACGAUGUCUACUAGCCGUUGGGGCCUUUGAGGCUUUAGUGGCGCAGCUAACGCGAUAAGUAGACCGCCUGGGGAGUACGGUCGCAAGACUAAAACUCAAAUGAAUUGACGGGGGCCCGCACAAGCGGUGGAGCAUGUGGUUUAAUUCGAUGCAACGCGAAGAACCUUACCUGGCCUUGACAUACUAGAAACUUUCCAGAGAUGGAUUGGUGCCUUCGGGAAUCUAGAUACAGGUGCUGCAUG